This 252-nucleotide ribosomal RNA is filed under the name uncultured bacterium. RNAcentral's name for it is "partial 16S ribosomal RNA". It matches the Rfam family "Bacterial small subunit ribosomal RNA", at positions 524 to 776 of the family's 1533-position model. The record is from RNAcentral.
UACGUAGGGGGCUAGCGUUGUCCGGAUUUAUUGGGCGUAAAGAGCGUGUAGGCGGCCAGGUAGGUCUGGUGUGAAAACUCGAGGCUUAACCUUGAGAUGUCAUCGGAAACCAUUUGGCUAGAGUCCGGAAGAGGAAAGUGGAAUUCCGCGUGUAGUGGUGAAAUGCGUAGAGAUGCGGAGGAACACCAGUGGCGAAAGCGGCUUCCUGGACCAGUACCGACGUCAGGCACGAAAGCGUGGGGAGCAAACAGG